UCCAGACUCCUACGGGAGGCAGCAGUGGGGAAUAUUGCACAAUGGGGGAAACCCUGAUGCAGCGACGCCGCGUGGAGGAAGAAGGUCUUCGGAUUGUAAACUCCUGUCCUUGGGGACGAUAAUGACGGUACCUGAAGAAGAAGCCCCGGCUAACUACGUGCCAGCAGCCGCGGUAAUACGUAGGGGGCAAGCGUUAUCCGGAUUUACUGGGUGUAAAGGGGGCGCAGACGGCGAUGCAAGCCAGGGGUGAAAGCCCGGGGCCCAACCCCGGGACUGCCCUUGGAACUGCAUGGCUGGAGUGCGGGAGGGGCAGGCGGAAUUCCUGGUGUAGCGGUGAAAUGCGUAGAUAUCAGGAGGAACACCGGCGGCGAAGGCGGCCUGCUGGACCGCGACUGACGUUGAGGCUCGAAAGCGUGGGGAGCGAACAGGAUUAGAUACCCCGGUAG
Molecule: ribosomal RNA, 446 nt
Filed under: uncultured bacterium
Lineage: Bacteria
Description: bacterial SSU rRNA
Rfam family: Bacterial small subunit ribosomal RNA
Source: RNAcentral